Molecule: non-coding RNA, 74 nt
Organism: Apaloderma vittatum (bar-tailed trogon)
Lineage: Eukaryota; Metazoa; Chordata; Aves; Trogoniformes; Trogonidae
Source: Rfam
GGCCGGUUAGCUCAGUCGGUUAGAGCGUUGUGCUAAUAACACCAAGGUCAUGGGUUUGAUCCCUGUGUGGGCCA